AGCUUGAGCGAGCCACCCUUCUCGUCGCCCUUGGGCGGGCACACGUUCUUCGUGACGCACUGCAACCACACGAAGAGGCUGUUUUUGACCAGCGCAGCAGCGCCGAUCGUUGCGGUGGUCCUUACCUAACAAAUUGUCCACCGACUUGGACACGAGGAUGACAAACUUUUCCGGAUCGGACGACUUCACGAUCCCGCCGCAACCGGCUGCCUCCUCCGGCUCUUUCGUCUGGUGAUCCUGCAGCGCAUCGGCCAGAUGCAGCAAGCCGGAGUUUUUACGAUAGGCCGCGUAGUACUCAUCCUCCAACCUGCCAUGAAACCCAUAAGCAUGUACUAUAAACACUGGGAGUGAUGAUUCUGACCUUCCCAUCUUACCAAAUAACGAUCUUCACCGAUGCGAACGACGCCGAACGGGGAAAGUCCAGCUUCCCACCAACAACCCCGGCACAGAUGUCUUCCUGCAGCACUUUCUGGUUGGCCUGUAGGGAAGGGAAAUGAGUGCGGUCACAUCACAAGCGCGAAGGGCUGAAGCCUUACCUCGUAGUACUGCAAAUCACGCUGGAGCAGAAUCGGAAUCCUGUCCAUAAGAUUGCCCUCCUCCAUAACCUCCAUGAUGGUUUAGACACCUUCAAGUGUACGACUGCAGCUUUUACGCAGUGUGUUCACCUGUGUACGGCGGUGCAACCAGCAGCCCACCCUUGGAAACAGAUGAUUUGCCCCGUACAUAAGGAUUCAUUCAUUCAUUGCGCCGACCCGCUGUUGUACAUAAAAAGGCCGUUCCACCGUUCCCAGUUUCAUUCCUCCGUUCCCGGUUUCACUGUUCCCUUCAUCGGUGAAGAGGGGAAAAUUGGUUUGUUUCGAUUCCAUCUCAUGCUUACCAUACCAAACCCAGUUCCAGUGCUUCCACUAUCAUCCCUAUUCCUAUCAUACC
Anopheles arabiensis is the source of this 930-nucleotide long non-coding RNA. RefSeq lists it as uncharacterized. The record is from RefSeq and is a predicted model, not a curated record. The transcript is spliced from 3 exons. NCBI's taxonomy places the organism in Eukaryota, Metazoa, Arthropoda, Insecta, Diptera, Culicidae.